CGAAUGGGUCCAAAGACUCUUAAAACCUACCGUGCUCCCCCAUGUGGAAAACAGGAAAGCCCUCCGGGGCAUAGGAAAUCUGAGAAGUUGAGAACUGCGCCCCGGCGCAUGACUAAAACAAAAAAUUA
Molecule: unclassified non-coding RNA, 128 nt
Filed under: soil metagenome
Description: partial internal transcribed spacer 1
Source: RNAcentral